CAUGCAAGUCGAGCGAACAGAUGAAGUGCUUGCACUUCGUGACGUUAGCGGCGAACGGUGAGUAACACGUAAGGAAUCUACCUAUAAGCGGGGGAUAACAUUCGGAAACGGGUGCUAAUACCGCAUAAUAUCUUCUUCCGCAUGGAAGAAGAUUGAAAGACGGCUCUGCUGUCACUUAUAGAUGACCUUGCGGUGCAUUAGUUAGUUGGUGGGUAAUGGCCUACCAAGACGAUGAUGCAUAGCCGACCUGAGAGGGUGAUCGGCCACAUUGGGACUGAGACACGGCCCAAACUCCUACGGGAGGCAGCAGUAGGGAAUCUUCCGCAAUGGGCGAAAGCCUGACGGAGCAAUGCCGCGUGAGUGAAGAAGGCCUUCGGGUCGUAAAACUCUGUUACAAGAGAAGAACAAAUUGUAGAGUAACUGCUACAGUCUUGACGGUAUCUUAUCAGAAAGCCACGGCUAACUACGUG
This 470-nucleotide ribosomal RNA is filed under the name uncultured bacterium. RNAcentral's name for it is "bacterial SSU rRNA". It matches the Rfam family "Bacterial small subunit ribosomal RNA", at positions 54 to 507 of the family's 1533-position model. The record is from RNAcentral.